Molecule: ribosomal RNA, 497 nt
Filed under: uncultured bacterium
Lineage: Bacteria
Description: partial 16S ribosomal RNA
Rfam family: Bacterial small subunit ribosomal RNA
Source: RNAcentral
GAUGAACGCUGGCGGCGUGCCUAAUACAUGCAAGUCGAGCGAACGGACGAGAAGCUUGCUUCUCUGAUGUUAGCGGCGGACGGGUGAGUAACACGUGGAUAACCUACCUAUAAGACUGGGAUAACUUCGGGAAACCGGAGCUAAUACCGGAUAAUAUUUUGAACCGCAUGGUUCAAAAGUGAAAGACGGUCUUGCUGUCACUUAUAGAUGGAUCCGCGCUGCAUUAGCUAGUUGGUAAGGUAACGGCUUACCAAGGCAACGAUGCAUAGCCGACCUGAGAGGGUGAUCGGCCACACGGGAACUGAGACACGGUCCAGACUCCUACGGGAGGCAGCAGUAGGGAAUCUUCCGCAAUGGGCGAAAGCCUGACGGAGCAACGCCGCGUGAGUGAUGAAGGUCUUCGGAUCGUAAAACUCUGUUAUUAGGGAAGAACAUAUGUGUAAGUAACUGUGCACAUCUUGACGGUACCUAAUCAGAAAGCAACGGCUAACUACGUG